AUUGAACGCUAGCGGUAUGCUUUAUACAUGCAAGUCGAACGGCGUGGCGCACGUGUGCGUAAUAUAUCGGAACCUGCUCAGUAGCCGGGGUUAUUUACUCUUAACUGUGGUUACUACCGCAUACCAUUCUUGCGUCCGUUAUCGGAUUAGCUAGUUGGUGGGGUAAAGGCUCACCAAGGCAACGAUCCGUAGAUGGUUUGAGAGGUCGACCAGCCACACUGGGACUGAGACACGGCCCAGACUCCUACGGGAGGCAGCAGUGGGGAAUUUUGGACAAUGGGGGAAACCCUGAUGCAGCAAUCCCGCGUGUAUGAUGAAGGCCUUCGGGUUGUAAAGUACUUUUGGCAGAGAAGCGGUAGCUGAUGAGUAAGCACCGGCUAACUACGUGCCAGCAGCCGCGGUAAUUC
RNAcentral lists this ribosomal RNA (407 nucleotides) under uncultured bacterium. RNAcentral describes it as "partial 16S ribosomal RNA". It matches the Rfam family "Bacterial small subunit ribosomal RNA", at positions 30 to 526 of the family's 1533-position model. The record is from RNAcentral.